UUUAUCAAUCUACCCCACACAAUACUCACCAAUCACAUGAUGCCACGCCCAAUAACGAAACACAAUAUCCACCCAACAAACACAAACUACUCUAAUCCUGUCAAUUUAUUUUUGAAUCAAUGACAAAAUUUUUAACUUUAUAAAUAAUUUAUAUAUAUAUAUAUACUCGUAAAUAAAUCUGAACCGUUCGAUCAAAUGAUCGGACGGUCUAAAUUUGGGGUUUCAAAUCCGAAUUUUCAAGUACGAAUUUGCCUAGAGGGUAUAUAUAUAUAAGGGUGUUCUUCACCCCACUAUAAACAGGCCUAGAGGUCGAAAAAAAGGAGAAAAAGAUCAAAAAGAGAGAGUAUUGAAAUCUUGAGGUGAGGAGGUAAAGAAAAAGAGUUUGGGUAGAAAAGGGUGAAAGGGGGGUAAAAACAAAGGUUUGAGGUCUUAGAAAAGUGGGGGACUUUGGAGAAGAAGAAUUAAAAAAAAGUAAGUCAUGAAACUACAAGUUUCUAGUUUUCUUAUUUCGUUUUGAAGUCGAAUUCCAGGAAUUUAUAGUCGCCGAAAUUUUUUUACACAUCAAAGCCCCAGUCUUGCUGCACCACACAAGGUGCGAAUCCUUUCUCCAUUCCACUUUUGUGUUCUUUUUCUCCUUCAUCUAUUUCAGUUUUUUGGGGGAACAUGUGAUUUUCUUCCAAUUUCAAGGUUACGUAUUUGUUGUUUUUCUUUAACUUGUGGGCAAAAAUAUAUUUUGGUUCUGGAAGAUUAUUUCGCACAUGAAUAUACAAGUUUGUAAGUAUGUGGAUAUGCAAUCUGUUAUGAUGUUAAAUUGGGUCGUUGAUGUGGGUGUUUGUUUCUUUUCGCCAAUCGGACUCAUGAAUAAUUUUUUUUAGUCCAUAGCAAGUUUUUUUGUGAAAAUAUGGCAGAAAUACGCUUUCUCCUAAAGUUAUUCAUGAUUAGUGUUUUUUUUGUUUCCUUUCGUGGGUCGAAUUGUUGAUGUAUGUGGGGAAAGUUAUGUUUCAUCGUUAAUGAAGAAGGUAGAAUUAUGUUAUGUGAAAUUUGCCCUGUAAGCGUACUUCUAAAUAAAUGGGUUUAACACGAAUUCGUCUUUAUCUUUGUUUGAUAGCUUGAAAUUUGACUAGAGUUACAUACAUUUGGGUGUUGUGUUUUAAAAUAAGGGUGUGGUAUAAUUCAUAUGUUUAGACGUCACAGGUCCUUAAUGGCAUUUGAAAAUCCCUAUGCUAUUCGAAAUAGAUAGUAAAAUAGGUUGAAUAGCUAUCGAUAUUGUACAAUUGGAAAAUAGGCAACAUGAAUUAGGAAAUUAUUGAUGAUAAAGACUUGAGUAGUCAUUUGUUUUUGUUUGGUGAAGAUGAAGAUGACAACGGCAUGUGUAGGUGUAUGUUUAUGACAUUUGAUUGGACCAUUCCUCUCUUUCCAGCAGGAAAAUAAUUGAUUUAGUUUGGUGUUUUUGUGCUGUAUGUUCCACGCAAACCCGAUAUAAAUUCUCUUAUUGUAGGAUUUGUUCAACAUUUGUUAUGGAAUUGUAACAAGAAAUAUGGUUCAAGUUUUAAUAACCUAUAAACUGAUUGAGAUAGUUUACUUGAAAUCAUCUUGCCAUGCACUAUCAACGUCUCAUUUGUUAUACAUUUGGCUGUUUUAGACGUGUGAGGCGUGAUUCUCUACUCCCCGAUCCCAUUUUGUCUCCUAAAUCAUGAUUUUCUUAGCUAUGUUUGAAUUUUCUGCUCCUCGUAUUCGCGAAUAAUAAGUUAUAGGAUCAUCCAUGUGAACUAAUUAAUGAACUAGUAAAUUUUUUCAGACUUGUUUGGCUUUUACAUCCAUAUUAUUUGUCUCCAUAAUUUAGUAAAAAGAUGGCCAAAUACUCUUGAGGUGUUUUGAGAGUUUCUUUGACGCAAACAUACGUUAAAUUGUUGUGGUUCGUGAUUACAGAUUCUGAAAUUUUGGUUACAUGAACUAUUGUACAUCUGUUGCUGCUCCACCUAUUUGCAUUUAUGUAUUGCUGUUAUUUGACAUUUGCUAGUGUUAAGUUAGUACCUAGUUACUUCAAAAUUACUGCAUCGUUUGAUUAGCGUAUCCAUGUAGGAAUCAAAUGUUUUGUCACCUUUGGGUGUUCCGUUUGGUAUUUGGCCAUACUUUUAUUUUCCUUUAGUUAAAACAUAAGGAUUGUUUAGAGCAUUACACCUUGCCCGUUAAUUUAUACUUUUCACCUAUAUUUUUAUUUAAUUACUAAUCUUUAUCUUUGUUUACUUUUAACAUGUAAACUCGAGAGUUGGAGUUCGUCAAUAGAACUCAUUUGGAAUCAAAUAUCAGGUUAACCGCUACCAGGAUCGUAGGACCUCGGAGUCGCGUGAAAUAGAAGUUUAAACUCUUUUAGGAAUCUAGUACCAAUUUAGCCUUUUUCCUUUACUUAUUAUCCUUCGCUUAUCACCCACGUCAUGUUAGAUAGUUCUUGAUACUUGAAAUAACAUUUGAGUGUUCUUAUCCUUGUUGAGAUUGUUUAAAGUAUCAUUAUUUAAUUAUUGUGUUUAUAUUGAUCCAACAUUCGCAAAUUAACUUUAACUGGAUUAACUUUCCCACAUUUUUGCAAAUAAUGCGAUUAGCUAGCUCACUUAUAGACAUUUCGGAUAUGGUUAGCAAAUGUUGAACGAGAUAUAAUUUUACUAUUAUUACUAUCAUUAUUAUUGUUAUUACGGAAAAGGGACAAAUAUACCAUUGAACUAUGAUAAAUGGUAUGUAUAUACCCUCUGUCAUAUUUUGGGUACAUCUAUGCCCCUACUGUUAAUGAAAUGGUACGUAUAUACCCCUCACACUAACGAUAAGGGCAUAUAUAUAUCCAAAGUAUGACAGAGGGUAUAUACGUACCAUUUAUCAUAGUUUGGGGGUAUAUUUUUUUCUUUUUCUUUUUAAUUUUUUAUCUCAAAUCCACUAUUCGACCCAAUAAAUCAACUAUUUGAAUCGGUUCCAAUUAAAAUACAAGAGACGCCUAUCUAAUAGACAUGUUUUUCUCACCCUAUAACGAUAUACACACAUAAUACAGUAACACAAUCAAUUUUCUUUUAAAAAACUAUUAACCAUAACACCCAAAACCAACACCAAAUAAAUUGAACCCCUCAUGUUUUAAUUUUCAGCAAAAUUCAUCGAGAAUACACUAUCCACCAUCGGUCAACACCACAUAGCCACCGUCACCGUCUUCAUCGAACCAAAAAAACCCCAACGCCAAACCAUUGUUGCACCCCUAGCUCCGGUUACCUUCAGCUUAAUCUCCACUCCCUCGAACCAGUAAACACCAACUAGUUGCAGCACCCAAUCCACUGAAAUUUGAUUGGUAUUCAUAUUUAAGAGAAAAACAGAGGAAAUAUCGGGUUUGAAACAAAAAAUAGAGGUUCGAUCGAGUUGGCUUAAAAUAGGGUACAAUGGGUUUAUUUGGUUGGGUAGCGGGUUUGGGAUAAUUAUUUGGAAUAAAAAAUUAAAACUGAAAAGGAACAAAUAUAUCCUGAACUAUUAUAAAUGGUACGUAUAUACCCUCCGUCACACUUUGGGGUACACAUAUGCCCUUACCGUUAAAGUGAGAGGCAUAUACGUACCAUUUCAUUAACGACAGGGGUAUAUGUGUACCCAAAAUAUGACGAAGGGUAUAUACGUACCUUUUAUUAUUAUUAUUAUAAUAUUAUCACUUUCAUUAUUAUUAUUACUACUACUAUUAUUAUUAUUACUGCUAUUAUAUUUAUUAGUAUAUUAUUAUUAUUAUUAUUAUUUAUUAUUAUUAUUAUUAUUAUUGUUGUUGUUAUUACUGUUAGAUUGUUUCUACUUUAUUAUAUCUAUGGACUUUAGUAUCACAAUUAUUUCCCAGUUAGAUCAAUCUAAAUCUAUUUGAAUUUCACAAAUCAAAGUGGAUUCUUACAUCAAUUUUUUCAUAUAUUUCUAAAUAGUCAUAUAUUUACAACAACAACAACAACAACAAACCCAGUAUAUUCCCACCUAGUGGGGUCUGGAGAGGAUAGAGUAUACACAGUCCAUACCACUACCUCUAAGGAAGUAGAGAUGUUAUUUCCGAUAGACCCCCAGCUCAAGAUAAAAGGCAAUAUACAAAAGCAUAGAACACGAUAAAAUAACAUAGGUAUGGCAUCUACAAAAAAUUUGUACGUUGUCAAACAAAGGACACCAAAGUCCACCUAAAUACUGCCUACGACUCCUCCACACCCUUAUCCCUCUAUCCUAAUGCUUUUCCUCCACAUCUUUCUAUCCAGGGUCAUGUCCUCAGUCAGCUGUAACUGCUCCAUGUCACAUUUAAUCACUUCUCUCCAGUAUUCCUUCGGCCUACCCCUACCCCGUUUGAAACCUCCCAAGGCCAACCUCUCACACAUACGAACUGGGGCAUCCGUGCCUCUCCUCAUCGCAUGACCGAAUCAUGUCAACCUCACUUCCCGCAUUUUAUCCUCCACUGACACCACUCCUACCUUCUCUCAAAUAAUUUCAUUCCUAACCCUAUCAGCCCUUGUGAAUCCACACAUCCAAUGCAACAUCCUUGUUUCCGCCACCUUUUGGAUAUGAGAAUUCUUAAUCGGCCAACACUCUGCUCCAUACAACAUAGCAGGCCGGACUGCAACUCUAUAGAAUUUGCCUUUCACCUUGGGGGGCACCUUCCUAUCGCAUAAAAUUCUCGAAGUGAGCCUCCAUUUCAUCCAACCUGCCCCAACAUGGUGAGAGACAUCCUCAUUUAUCUCUCCAUUUUCCUGAAUCAUAGACCCAAGAUACUUAAAAUUAUCCCUCUUGCAAACCGCCUGAGAAUCCAACUUCACUACCACCCCCCCCUCUUUCCUCCAGUCACUAAACUUGCACUCCAAGUACUCUGUCUUGGUCCUACUCAACCUGAAACCUUUAGACUCCAGGGUUUGUCUCCAAACCUCCAACUUAUUAUUAACCCUUUAUCGCGACUCAUCAAUUAGAACUAUAUCAUCUGCGAAAAGCAUACACCAAGGCACCUCGCCUUGUAUAUUUCGCUUCAACACAUCCAUCACCAAAGCGAAUAAAAAUGGACUAAGAGUUGAUCCCUGGUGCAACCCUGUCAAAGACCUGGAAGUGCUCAGAAUCUCCUCUCACUGUCUUUACCCGAGCAUUUGCUCCCUCAUACAUGUCCUUAAUCGCUCUGAUGUAGGCCACCGGGACCCCCUCGCCUCCAACCUUCUCUAAAGAACCUCCCUACGGACCUUAUCAUACGCCUUUUCCAAGUCAAUAAACACCAUGUGAAGAUCCCUCUCCCUCUCUCUGUACUGCUCUACCAGUAUCCGCACACGGUGAAUUGCCUCAGUCGUGGAGCGACCAGGCAUAAAACCAAAUUAAUCCUCCAAAAUAGGCACAAUCUUUCUCAACCUCCGCUCUACCACCCUCUCUCAAAUCUUCAUCGUGUGACUCAAUAACUUGAUAUCCCGAUAGUUGUUGCAACUCUGAAUAUCACCCUUGUUCUUAUAUAAAGGAAUCAUCGUGCUCCAUCUCCACGCCUCAGGCAUCUUUACUGAGUUGAAAAUAUUGUUAAAUAAGUUGGUCAACCACCUCAACCCUAACCUGCCAGAGAACUUCCAAAAAUCCACCGAAAUCUCAUCGAGCCCCGUCGCCCUUCCUCUUUGCAUCUUGCGAAUAGCCUCACUAACCUCAUUUACCUUAAAACGCUGACAAAAGCCAAGUCGCGACACUCUUCGGAAUGCUCCAACUCCCUUAACACAACACCCCUAUCCCCCCCAUCAUUCAAGAGCUUAUAGAAAUAGGACUGCCAUAUUUUCUUAAUGAGGUCGUCUUCCACCAAAACUUUGUCAUCCUCCCCCUUAAUGCACUUCACCUGGUCCAGAUCACGUCCCUUCCGCUUCCUAACCUUGGCAAGCCUAAACAUCCUUUCUCCCCGCCUUUCUUCUCUAACCCCUUAUACAAACUUUCAAAAACUGCUGUCUUAGCAGCCGUGACUGCUAACUUAGCCUCCUUUUUUGCUAACUUGUACUCCUCCCUGCUCACCCGCUUCUGUUCUUCAUCCUUACUCUCAACCAACUUAGUGUAAGCUGCCUUCUUCAUCUCGACCUUCUUCUUAACAUUACUCAUAUAUUUACGUUUGUCUUACAUAAGUUCUUUCACACUUUAAUAUAUUUUCUUUUAAUUUAGGAUAAAUUUUAUUCAUAUAUUCAACUCCAUGCAUUUAAAUAUAAUAGGGUUUUUAUACUUUUUAUAUUAUUACAAUUAUAAAAACAAAAAAGACUAUUUUUUCCAUAUUUUAAGAUAUUCAUACAUAUAUUUUACAAUAAUCAUAUUACUUCCUCGUACAUGAUAGCAUCACACUUUCUAUACUUUAAGUUUUCUUUUUAAAAAAGAUAAAUAAUAAAAUAACAAUGUUUUUUCAUCACUGUUUUUAGAAAAUAACAAAGCAAUUACUUCUUUUCAAAUAUUUUUCUAAACUGAGUCUAAGGACUAUCUUCAGAUAGGCUCUGUGAGGUGCUUAACACCUUUCCCUCGAGUAACCAAAACUCUUACUCGGAAUCUCAAAAUGUUUUGAAAGACCAAAACAGAGUUUCACACAAAAAUGUUUUUUCUUAAAAAAUUUAGGUGGCGACUCUAAAGAAUGAAUUUUUAACAUUCGAGAGUCAUAAUGACCACCACAUGUUGUGUUCUAUUCGCUUGGUUCAAAAUAGGGCACGAAAGAGUGCAUGUGGAUAUUUAUUCAGACUAUAAAAGCUUGCAGUAUGUGUUUAUGCAGAAGAAAUUGAAUCUUAGGCAGAGGCGGUGGCUCGAAUUGCUUAAGAAUUAUGACAUAAAUUUACACUACCAUUCAGGUAAAGCUAAUGUUGUUGUUGAUGCUCUUAGCAGGUUGUCCUGGGGCGCCUAUCUCAAGUUGAUGAAGAGAAAAAAUGAUUAGUGAAGGAUAUUCACAUGUUGGCUAACUUGGGAGUUCAUCUUUUGGACACUGAGGAUGGAGGAGUGGUUG
This 6964-nucleotide long non-coding RNA is filed under the name Capsicum annuum. RNAcentral's name for it is "long non-coding RNA (CANN_LNC001277)". The record is from RNAcentral. Lineage: Eukaryota; Viridiplantae; Streptophyta; Magnoliopsida; Solanales; Solanaceae.